This is a long non-coding RNA of Columba livia (rock pigeon), 4700 nucleotides long. RefSeq lists it as uncharacterized. The transcript has 3 exons. NCBI's taxonomy places the organism in Eukaryota, Metazoa, Chordata, Aves, Columbiformes, Columbidae. The record is from RefSeq and is a predicted model, not a curated record.
CUAAUUCAAGACAGUGUCUCGAUGUUUGCAUCGCACCCUUGAACCGCUCACUGCUCAGCAGGUGGAGGCACCGCUGGGUCUCUGACAAAACAGGUCAGUGCGGCUGGAGCCCCAUCGGCACCCGCCCCCCCGCCGCAGCGAGCUGGACCGGGCAAGGCUUUGAUCAGUGUCCCAUCUGGGGCGCCACAACUGUUACCCCAAAACCAGGAUUCUUUAUCCGGUGCACAUACAAAAGAGCCAAAUUUAGUACACGGGGAUGAGACACAGCCUGUCACAGAGCUGCACAAGUCUGGGUGCUGGAAUAAAGCCAGUGGGCUAGAAAGAAAAGUAACGGCCAUCACACACAAAACCUUAUCACCACAUUCACACAGUUAAUAGCUAAAUUGCUCAUCAUAACAAAAUGUACAUUUUAGGUCAAUCUGUGAUCUUACUGUACCAUGUAAGCGGCAAAAGACUUACGAAACUGCAACACAUUUAAAAAGGUACCUACAAAGAAAAAAAAAAGUUAGUACUAAAAGGCAUCUUGCAGAUAGUUCUGGAAGUUUUCUGUGAUUCAUUUGUUAUCAGCUAAUUCUCUCUCCGCUUGUUGAAGUUCAAACCAUUCUGCUGUAAAUCUGUGUAAAGUGAUGUAAUGACCUCCUGCUCAGUUUGCUUGUCUUUCGGGGCAGCUAUCAAUGCUGCUUCCAAAACAGCAGAGAUCUCAAAUCUGCUUUCUUUUGCCAAGUCCCUUGUUUGCUCAGGUACAGUAUCUGGAGACGACCAAUGUCCAGAAGCCCACCUAAGACCCUCAGGAGUCCGGCAAGCCUUAUAAUCUUCCAGUAAGCUCAACAUCAGGGAGCAGUCCAGGCCUGGCUUGACCUGGGAUGCCAUGACCCACUGCCGGAGAACGCGGCACAGACCGAUCCGUCCUCCUUUAGAGCCUCCGGCUCCUAUCCCCCCUCAAACCGCUUCUCACAGAAUAUCCCACUUCUGACACCAAAUGAACUGUCCCGUCCCAACAGGUGGGAUGAGGGAUGAGUUCACUCUUUGUUUCUCCUUAUCUCUUCGAGUUUUUCUAGUUUCUUUCUUAUAUCUCCCCAGGACUUUGUUACAAACUGGGGGGUUCACUCCUUGAGUCCAUUUAUCCCUUGCUUUUUCCUUGGGUGAACUUCUCUUCAUCCCAGAAUUCUAGCAUAAUCCCCACCAAGGGACUGUUGGGGUCUCCAAAAUUGGGGUCUUUGGAUGAAGGCUCCUUCAGCUUCGUCACAGUGAACUUUUUACCUGUGGCUCAUUAUGAUCAAUUGACUGGAACCCAAGCUGCCAAGUCGACUGAAAUCAGACUGGCGCCCCCUUUUUGCUGUAAAUCUUGGCUGUCUUGUCUCCUCAAGGUUACAGCUGGUGCUGUAAAACUUAUCUCGGCAUUUGAUGAGGUUCUGGUUUUUUUUCUUAACUGGUUACAUACAGCUCUAAACCAGAUAUUCGUUAUGUGGCUGUCCCGGUUUUGUUAAAAACAAGUUUCUCUUUCAGUGAAUUUUGCCUGUCAGCUAAAGCCUUCGUAUUAACUGCGUUUUCCUGGAGAACCAGACACAUGUUUUGGUAAACCUGGCAAUGGAAUGCAAACUUAUUGAUAAGCACGGAUGGACAUCUCGCGAGAGGGGCGACGAGAAGCAAGUGAGCAAGAAACUGACCAACUGUGUAUAACAUUCCAUUCACGUGAAUACUUCAUAUAAAAGUGGGAGAUCACGAGGAUCUCGUCCCUUUUGCCUUUUUGCCCUUUUCCCUUCUGCUUAUGGCCGACCUUAGGAGAGGACCUUGCUAGUCAUCCCUGCGAACUGAGGCCUAGUGAGAGACUGAAUCCAGCUCCGGUUGGCUGCAGAGUCUAAUCCAGGACUUUGGUUGCCGGCUCUGCAGUUGCUGAGACUUUCAAGAUUGGUUUUGUUCAGAGCCCGUGCCUCAUUUGGUUAGAUCUGUAAACACUGAACAUCUCCUCAGCAGGAAUCACAGCUGCAUUUCUCACAGCCAGAACCUGGGCCACAUGUGGCAGCGAUGGGGGAGCUGUAAGACCCGAAAGCCCAUGGCAAGCACAGCUGAAGCUGCACGGCUGCCCUGGGCAGCUCUUGCUGCUCCCUGGGUGCUCCCCCAGGGGAUGUCCCCUCCCUCUGGGCUCCGCGCUGCUGUCGUGCCGCCCUCAGACCUGCGAGAAGAUGAGCAACUUUAAGGAGGCGCGUGUCAGCCUGGCAGAGGACAUGCAUGCAAUGCAGGAGGCGCAUUCCAGCCUGGCAGAGGACGUGCAUGCAAUGCAGGAGGUGCAUUCCAGCCUGGCAGAGGACAUGCAUGCAAUGCAGGAGGUGCAUUCCAGCCUGGUAGAGGACAUGCGGGAGAUCCAGGAGAUGCUUGGCCUGGUGAGGACAGGGCUUCCCUCCAGGAUCUGUGUGAGGAGAUGAGCAAGUUUAAGGAGGUGCAGUCUGGCCUGGCAGAGGACAUGCGGGCCAUGCAGAAGGCGCGUUCUGGCCUGGCAGAGGACAUCCAGGAGAUACAGGAGACGCUUGGCCUGGAAGAACCUGUCCGUGCCCAGGGCUAUGCUGGAGGUGGUUCAGCUUGGUGUGGUGGAAGCAGAUCAGCACAGCGCCUGCCUGGUUGGACCAAUGCAUCUCAUUGUCCUUCUGUCCCAUGCUGAAGGUUCCUCAAGAGCUCAGCUCAGGCAUCCAGAUAAGAGGCAAGUCUCCAAAAUGGCCAGUGCCCAGUGUCCAAAGGACUUCAGGAAACCUGACCCAUCGCUCUGUCCUCUCCAUAAGCCCAGCCUGAAGACAGCCAUGUCCUCAGGCCAUCACGCACCGAGCGUCAGGCUCAGAGCUGCAGCCCCUGUCUUCCUCAGGGACUGGGCAAAGCUGCUCCUCUCCCAGCAGCUCCAUUCAGCUCCCAUCAGCUGCCACCAGUGAGAUGCAUCAAAAUGAGGGGCAGCUGUGGGGGGAAGGAGCAGGGGCAGCUGAGUCACCUCUCAGGAUGGGUGUAAAUGCUCCCAGUCCCUUUGAAUAUGUCAGUGCGGAGACGAGAUGCAAGGGCACAAACGUCCAUUUUUUCUGCUCGGAUGAGUCCUGAGUUGACUUUUCCAGCGCAGGCAGCAGCUCUCGGUUUCAUCCCCGGUGCUUCUGUGAGACAUUUACCAACCUCUGGGACCCCUGAGGGCCACAGCAAAGUUCACUCUCUGCUGCUUGUUUGGUUUCUCUUUGCUGCUGCUGUGCAUUGGGUCUGACAGAACAGCAAGGAAGGCAUCUGAGGAUGCUGCUGGCUGGGGAGCGAAGGCUUUCAGAUCCAGCCCUGGCACAGAGAGCUGCUGUCCCCAAGGAGGUGACAUGCUCCUCAUGAGGCCGGUCCCUUGAGACCUGCCUCAUGCCUGCAGACCAGCGUGGAAAUCACUGGACACAGCCAGAGAAACAGAGAAUCAUAGAACCAUAGAAUGCCCUGAGUUGGAAGGGACCCACAGGGGUCACUGAGUCCAACUCCUGUCCCUGCACAGGACAACUCCAGAAUUCACACCACGUGUCUCAGGGCGUUGUCCAGUCACUUCUUGAAUAUUUUCACUCUUGGGGCUGUGACACCUCCCUGGGGAGCCUGUUCAGUGUCCAGCACCUCUGGGUGAAGAACCUUUUCCUCAUGUCCCACCUGACCUUCCGCUGGCCCAUCUUCUGCCGUUCCCUGGGCUCUGUUACUGGUCACUAGAGGGAUCAGCUGAACCUCUCUGCUCCUGCUCGUGUACCACGGGGCUGCAUCCCAUCGGUGGGGACAUCCUCCUGCCUGCUUUGCUGGCACCUUAGCUCCUUCCCUGGAGGAGCAGCCCACUCUGCCCCUCCCUGGCAGUUAUUAUCCCCGCUUCACAGACUGAAUACAACGUGAUCAUUAAAGUGUAGGCACAUGGUGGCUGCAGAAAGUUGCAUCAGCUUUUACUUUUCCUUGCCAGCUGAAAUGCAAACUGUCACUCAUCUCCCACUGCUCCGGGGAUCCAUUCAGAAGAACACGAGACAUGUCGUGGCCCACACUGCACUUACAUGUCAAGGUUUCAGAAAGAAAUGAGCUCCGCUUCCACAUAUAGCAGCUGAGAAACAAUUACUGCCCUUGCCUCUGCAACAAAGGUUUUCACCAUUGUUUUCUUCUGCACUGGCGUCACACUGCACAGGGUCAUUUUUCUGCUGAUGGGUGGUAACUCACUGAGCUUCAGUGGCCCAACAUGGGGCUGAGCUCAAGAGGCUCGAGGGAAAUUGGGUUUCCAGGAUGAGUUCUUGCUGAGACCUGAACCAAAGUACCGUGUUUCUAAUUGACUUUAUUCCUAUCAAUUCGAGCCUGUAGAGAAAGUGCCAGCAAAGACACAGAGGGAAUGUCCUCAGUUGACUCUGCACGCGGUGCUCCCGCCCUGAACUCCCCCUUCCUCUGCUGCCCCAACGAGCAGCAGCACCAGCCCUGCAGUACAUCUCUUUUCCUUGUCGCUCACGAAAGCGCAGAUUUGGGGAAGGGAGGGGAUUCAUCUGUGUCUUCCUCACUCUCAAAGGGAUCAGGUGCCUGAGCAGCCUCCAGGCAUUAUAAACACAGACCAACUGCACUCAGACUUUCCUGGAGGAUGCAUUAGCUGAAUCCACUUCUCUGGGCUCAGGACAGGAAAAACCAGUGGAGAGGAGGGAGCAAGUACGUGAUCAAUGGUCUCUUUGAUGCACAAAUCUGUAAACUUA